CCUACCGGGAGGCAGCAGUGGGGAACAUUGCGCAAUGGGCGAAAGCCUGACGCAGCGACGCCGCGUGAGGGAUGAAGGUCUUCGUAUCGUAAACCCCUGUCAGCAGGGAAGAACGGUCACUGUGCUAAUCAGCAGUGAAUUGACGGUACCUGCCAAGGAAGCACCGGCUAACUCCGUGCCAGCAGCCGCGGUAAUACGGAGGGUGCGAGCGUUAAUCGGAAUUACUGGGCGUAAAGCGCUCGUAGGCGGUAUGUCAAGUCAAGGGUGAAAUCCCCGGGCUCAACGUGGGAACUGCCUUGGAAACUGGCAAACUGGAGUGUGUGAGAGGAUAGUGGAAUUCCAGGUGUAGGAGUGAAAUCCGUAGAUAUCUGGAGGAACAUCAGUGGCGAAGGCGACUAUCUGGCACAUAACUGACGCUGAGGAGCGAAAGCGUGGGUAGCAAACAGGAUUAGAUACCCCUGUAGUC
RNAcentral lists this ribosomal RNA (466 nucleotides) under uncultured bacterium. RNAcentral's name for it is "partial 16S ribosomal RNA". It matches the Rfam family "Bacterial small subunit ribosomal RNA", at positions 338 to 795 of the family's 1533-position model. The record is from RNAcentral.